This 407-nucleotide ribosomal RNA is filed under the name uncultured bacterium. RNAcentral describes it as "partial 16S ribosomal RNA". It matches the Rfam family "Bacterial small subunit ribosomal RNA", at positions 30 to 526 of the family's 1533-position model. The record is from RNAcentral.
AUUGAACGCUGGCGGCAGGCCUAACACAUGCAAGUCGAGUGGAGCGGCGGACGGGCGAGUAAUGCCUAGGAAUCUGCCUGGUAGUGGGGGUUAACGCCCGGAAACGGGCGCUCAUACAGCAUACUAUCAGAUGAGCCUAGGUCGGCUUAGCUAGUUGGUGGGGUAAAGGCCUACCAAGUCGACGAUCCGUCACUGGUCUGAGAGGAUGAUCAGUCACACUGGAACUGAGACACGGGCCAGAAUCCUACGGGAGGCAGCAGUGGGGAAUAUUGGACAAUGGGCGAAAGCCUGAUCCAGCCAUGCCGCGUGUGUUAAGAAGGUCUUCGGAUUGUAAAGCACUUUAAGUUGGGAGGCGUUACCAACAGAAUAAGCACCGGCUAACUUCGUGCCAGCCGCCGCGGUAAUAC